AUGCUCGCUUUGGCACCAAAUACACUAACAAUGGACUGAUACAGAGAAGACUAGCAUGGCCCCUGUGCAAGAAUGACACGCAAAUUUGUGAAGUGUUCCAUGUUGGG
Ursus americanus (American black bear) is the source of this 107-nucleotide small nuclear RNA. NCBI's taxonomy places the organism in Eukaryota, Metazoa, Chordata, Mammalia, Carnivora, Ursidae. The record is from Ensembl.